CCUACGGGUGGCAGCAGUGAGGAAUAUUGGUCAAUGGGCGCGAGCCUGAACCAGCCAAGUAGCGUGAAGGAUGACUGCCCUACGGGUUGUAAACUUCUUUUAUAAAGGAAUAAAGUGAGGCACGCGUGCCUUUCCGUAUGUAUUUUAUGAAUAAGCAUCGGCUAACUCCGUGCCAGCAGCCGCGGUAAUACGGAGGAUCCGAGCGUUAUCCGGAUUUAUUGGGUUUAAAGGGAGCGUAGAUGGGUUGUUAAGUCAGUUGUGAAAGUUUGGGGCUCAACCGUAAGAUUGCAAUUGAUACUGGCAGCCUUGAGUACAGUAGAGGUAGGCGGAAUGCGUGGUGUAGCGGUGAAAUGCUUAGAUAUCACGCAGAACUCCGAUUGCGAAGGCAGCCUACUAAACUGCCACUGACAUUGAUGCUCGAAAGUGUGGGUAUCAAACAGGAUUAGAUACCCCGGUAGUC
RNAcentral lists this ribosomal RNA (460 nucleotides) under uncultured bacterium. RNAcentral describes it as "partial 16S ribosomal RNA". It matches the Rfam family "Bacterial small subunit ribosomal RNA", at positions 338 to 795 of the family's 1533-position model. The record is from RNAcentral.